GAGAGAGAGUAGACAUAGAGGGAGAAGCUGACUCCCCAUGGAGCAGGGAGCCCAACGCAGGGAUCAAUCCCAGGACCCGGAUAUCAUGACCUGAUCCAAAGGUAGACACUAACCACUGAGAAACCCAGGUGCCCCUACUUGAUUCUUCUCACCAGCUUAUUCGCCAUUCAAUAUUUUGUCUCAAUUUUCUCAUCAUUUGCAGCAGUUUGACCCUGACACUUUUGCAAAAGUGCUUCAUCUCUAAAGAGAUUUAUGGAAAAGACUGACAAGUACUCUAGAAUAUAGUUUUCUGAUAACUAUCAGAUCAUACCACUGAUAUAGCUAUCUAUGACUUACAGCAAUUUGGGUUCCUGGCAGCCUCAUCAGCUGAGUAAGGAAAGUUAUUACUCAGGAUAUCUUGAAGACCUCAAGAUGAAAGGAAUUAAAACUAUAUAGGUACAACAAGUGAAGCCUGAUGGCAAGUCUCUGAUGUGGCUUCUUAGUCUGCAGAGGCUUUAAAAGUCCAAUCUAAUAUCAUGUGAAAAGUUCCAGCAAAACAGAUUUAAAAAGAGCCUAUGUGGUCAGUCACUAUUCUUGCUGCACUUAUAUAAAUGAUCAGUCCAUGUUUAAAGAGAACAGACUUGUUUUUUUGUUUUUGUUUUUUUUUUUUUUUUGUAAAGAAAUUAGUUUUACUAUAAUUAUAUUUGCUAGAAAUGAGAUCUGGAUGCCAAUCCUAUCAGUUUUCUCAAUUAUCUGACCAUGAGUCUAGAAACAACACUUCUAAUUUUCUCCCAUUCUUCUGAUUUGGAAUCUUUAAGUACAAAGACUGUUUUUGAACCUUCUUGGAAGAGGCCAUCCUUCUCACUACCCAGAUAGCUGUCAAAUUUCAGGGACUCGAACCUUGGAUCUACCUCUCCCAAUCUGAUCUACUGCUCCCAAAAAAUAUUUUAUAAAUUACAGUAUUCACAUUUCUGAAGCUUAUUCAGCAUUUAAUUGAAUACUUAUUAGUGUUUAAAGUUACCCUAAGGCUUUUACCAAACACUAGUUAACUCUCAGUAUAUUUUUUGGAAGUG
Canis lupus familiaris (dog) is the source of this 1052-nucleotide long non-coding RNA. RefSeq lists it as uncharacterized. The transcript has 4 exons. Lineage: Eukaryota; Metazoa; Chordata; Mammalia; Carnivora; Canidae. The record is from RefSeq and is a predicted model, not a curated record.